GACGAACGCUGGCGGCGCGCCUAACACAUGCAAGUCGAACGGAGCUGAUAGAAGCUUGCUUUUCUUAGCUUAGUGGCGAACGGGUGAGUAACGCGUGAGUAACCUGCCCUGGAGUGGGGGACAACAGUUGGAAACGACUGCUAAUACCGCAUAAGCUCACGAUCCGGCAUCGGAUUGAGGGAAAAGGAUUUAUUCGCUUCAGGAUGGACUCGCGUCCAAUUAGCUAGUUGGUGAGGUAACGGCCCACCAAGGCGACGAUUGGUAGCCGGACUGAGAGGUUGAACGGCCACAUUGGGACUGAGACACGGCCCAGACUCCUACGGGAGGCAGCAGUGGGGGAUAUUGCACAAUGGGGAAACCCUGAUGCAGCGACGCCGCGUGGAGGAAGAAGGUUUUCGGAUUGUAAACUCCUGUCGUUAGGGACGAUAAUGACGGUACCUAACAAGAAAGCACCGGCUAACUACGU
RNAcentral lists this ribosomal RNA (466 nucleotides) under uncultured bacterium. RNAcentral describes it as "partial 16S ribosomal RNA". It matches the Rfam family "Bacterial small subunit ribosomal RNA", at positions 28 to 506 of the family's 1533-position model. The record is from RNAcentral.